This 253-nucleotide ribosomal RNA is filed under the name uncultured bacterium. Its description in RNAcentral is "partial 16S ribosomal RNA". It matches the Rfam family "Bacterial small subunit ribosomal RNA", at positions 524 to 776 of the family's 1533-position model. The record is from RNAcentral.
UACGGAGGAUCCAAGCGUUAUCCGGAUUCAUUGGGUUUAAAGGGUGCGUAGGCGGGAUGAUAAGUCAGUGGUGAAAUCCUACAGCUUAACUGUAGAACUGCCAUUGAUACUGUCAACCUUGAGUACAUUUGAAGUGGGCGGAAUGUGUCAUGUAGCGGUGAAAUGCUUAGAUAUGACACAGAACACCGAUAGCGAAGGCAGCUCACUAAACUGUAACUGACGCUGAGGCACGAAAGCGUGGGGAUCAAACAGG